UGCUUCUCGACAACCCUAUGAAAAGUAAUUUCUGCCCAGUGAAAACUUAAACGGCCGCGGUACCCUGACCGUGCAAAGGUAGCAUAAUAGCUUGCCUUUUAAUUAAAGGCUUGUAUGAACGAACCAACGAGAGUUUGACUGUCUCCUAGAUAAACACGAAACUUAACCUUUAUGUGAAAAGGCAUAAAUUAAACUAAAAGACAAAAAGACCCUGUCGAGCUUAAUUGUUAACCCCCCCUAAAAAAAGUCUUUUAUUCUUUCUGGGAAAUAAAACAAUUUAGUUGGGGCAACAAGGGAACAUCCAAACCUUCCCUUAUAAAAUUUAUCCUAAUUUAUAGACCCCCAAUCGGGCCAAAAGAUAAAAGCUACCGCAGGGAUAACAGGUUAAUUUUUCUCGAGAGUACACAUUAACAGAAAAGAUUUACACCUCGAUGUUGGCUUAGGCUACCCCACUAGUGCAGAAGCUAGUAACGGCAGGUUUGUUCACCCUAAAAAAGCCUACGUGAUCUG
RNAcentral lists this ribosomal RNA (510 nucleotides) under Euphrosinella sp. DZMB HH 32640-C. RNAcentral describes it as "partial large subunit ribosomal RNA". It matches the Rfam family "Bacterial large subunit ribosomal RNA", at positions 1829 to 2607 of the family's 2925-position model. RNAcentral also lists the same sequence under 3 other names. Lineage: Eukaryota; Metazoa; Annelida; Polychaeta; Eunicida; Euphrosinidae. The record is from RNAcentral.